This 73-nucleotide transfer RNA is filed under the name Eucryptotermes sp. n. nr. breviceps. RNAcentral describes it as "tRNA-Cys". The record is from RNAcentral. Lineage: Eukaryota; Metazoa; Arthropoda; Insecta; Blattodea; Kalotermitidae.
AGUCUUAUAUUCAUGUUUGUGAUAGUAGAAUGCAAUUCUGGUGGGGUGGUAUUGUAAGUAGCCACUAAGGCUU